CCUACGGGGGGCUGCAGUGAGGAAUAUUGGUCAAUGGGCGCGAGCCUGAACCAGCCAAGUCGCGUGAGGGAAGACGGUCCUAUGGAUUGUAAACCUCUUUUGUCGGGGAGCAAAAGACGCCACGUGUGGCGUUCCGAGAGUACCCGAAGAAAAAGCAUCGGCUAACUCCGUGCCAGCAGCCGCGGUAAUACGGAGGAUGCGAGCGUUAUCCGGAUUUAUUGGGUUUAAGGGGUGCGCAGGCGGAAGAUCAAGUCAGCGGGAAAAUUGAGAGGCUCAACCUCUUCGAGCCGUUGAAACUGGUUUUCUUGAGUGAGCGAGAAGUAUGCGGAAUGCGUGGUGUAGCGGUGAAAUGCAUAGAUAUCACGCAGAACUCCGAUUGCGAAGGCAGCAUACCGGCGCUCAACUGACGCUCAUGCACGAAAGUGUGGGUAUCGAACAGGAUUAGAUACCCCAGUAGUC
RNAcentral lists this ribosomal RNA (459 nucleotides) under uncultured bacterium. Its description in RNAcentral is "partial 16S ribosomal RNA". It matches the Rfam family "Bacterial small subunit ribosomal RNA", at positions 338 to 795 of the family's 1533-position model. The record is from RNAcentral.